UACAGAGGGGGCAAGCGUUGUUCGGAAUUACUGGGCGUAAAGGGCGCGUAGGCGGCCUGUUAAGUCGAACGUGAAAUCCCCCGGGCUCAACCCGGGAACUGCGUCCGAUACUGGCAGGCUUGAAUCCGGGAGAGGGAUGUGGAAUUCCAGGUGUAGCGGUGAAAUUCGUAGAUAUUGGGAAGAACACCGGUGGCGAAGGCGGCUCACUGGCUCGUAACUGACGCUCAUGCACGACAGCGUGGGGAUCAAACAGG
Molecule: ribosomal RNA, 254 nt
Filed under: uncultured bacterium
Lineage: Bacteria
Description: partial 16S ribosomal RNA
Rfam family: Bacterial small subunit ribosomal RNA
Source: RNAcentral